Molecule: long non-coding RNA, 1257 nt
Filed under: Cottoperca gobio
Lineage: Eukaryota; Metazoa; Chordata; Actinopteri; Perciformes; Bovichtidae
Description: lncRNA (ENSCGOG00000021026.1)
Source: RNAcentral
AUUAUAUACAGCGGGUAAAAUAAGUAUUGAACACAUCACCAUUCUUCUCAGUUAAUAUAUUUCUAAAGGGGCUAUUGACAUGACAUCUUCACCAGAUGUCAGUAACAACCCAUGCAAUCCACACAGAAACCAAAACAAAUAAGUUCAGAAAUUAAGUUAUGUGUAAUAAAAUGGAAUGACACGGGGAAAAAGUAUUGAACACAUGAAGAAAGGGAGGUGCAAAAAGGCAAGAAGCCAAGAAACCAGCUGAAAUCUAUCAGUAAUUAGAAAGCAAUGCUGCCGCUCGUCAGUGCAAAUUAAUAUCAGCUGGUUCAGUCCCAACUGAUGGCCUAUAAAAAGGUCUCUCAUUAUUGAGGUGUCACACAAACAUAUCAUGAUGGGUAAAAGCAACAACCUUAACAACCUUAUUAACCUUAUUGUUGCACAAAAUACUGAUGCGUUGGUUACAGAAGGAUUUCUAAACUUGACUCCAGCUAAAGAAAAAGCAUGUUGAAGCUCGUUUAAAGUGUGAAGUACUGGGAGAAUAUAGUCGUCAGAUGAGACCAGAAUUAAACUCUUUGGAUUCCUUAAUACGCACCAUGUUUGGAGGUCAAAGGGCACUGCACAUCAGCCCAAACACACCAACCAACAGUGAAGUGUGGAGGUGGAACAUCCUGGUGGGGGUGUCGUUCAGCAUACUGCAAACUUCAUAUCAUUGAAGGAAUGAUGAAUGGAAAAAUGUACUGAGACAUUCUUGAUAAAAAAUCUGCUGCCAUCUACCAGGAUGAUGAAGAUGAAACGAGGGUGGACAUCUCAUCUCAGUUGUCAGUUUUAUCACUUCAUCUUCAACGUCGACAAGAAAUGUGAUAAAAUGUGUCGCUGUUGCACCUUUGGAAAGGGCUUGAUUUUGACCGCUAUCAAAUGUUGUUGAAGAGACCAACAGCAUAUUAUAUAUUGAUGAAAUAUGCCUCCACAAUUAUCUUAUUCUUAAUAAAUGAAAUGUAUUGUAGUCCCUGUCAGCCUCUGAGAGCUAUACUGUGUUGUUAUGGUAUUAGUAGUAGAAUGAUGGUCCUUUUGCUCUUCAGUGCAGAGAAAACGCAACACAUACGACUCUUCUGUGAAGAUGUCACUCUAAUAAAGAAAGUUGCUGCUCGAGGCUUGAGAAAGGGCUCCCAUGUGUCGGAGGUGAUUCGCCAACAAUAUCAUUGAACAGUGAAAGCACCUGAACAUCUUCAGGUAACUGAACAUUGCAAACACAUUGAUAGUUGUGUCAGAUUA